Molecule: ribosomal RNA, 505 nt
Filed under: uncultured bacterium
Lineage: Bacteria
Description: bacterial SSU rRNA
Rfam family: Bacterial small subunit ribosomal RNA
Source: RNAcentral
CUGGCUCAGGAUGAACGCUGGCGGCGUGCCUAACACAUGCAAGUCGAACGAAGCACUUCUGGUUGAGAUUCGUCAAGAACCGGAAUUGACUUAGUGGCGGACGGGUGAGUAAUGUAUGAGCAACCUGCCUUUCAGAGGGGGACAACAGUUGGAAACGACUGCUAAUACCGCAUAAUGUUUCGAGAGGGCAUCCUUUUGAAACCAAAGGAGCAAUCCGCUGAAAGAUGGGCUCAUAUCUGAUUAGUUAGUUGGUGAGGUAACGGCUCACCAAGACUGCGAUCAGUAGCCGGACUGAGAGGUUGAACGGCCACAUUGGGACUGAGAUACGGCCCAGACUCCUACGGGAGGCAGCAGUGGGGAAUAUUGGGCAAUGGGCGAAAGCCUGAACCCCAGCAACGCCGCGUGAAGGAAGAAGGUCUUCGGAUUGUAAACUUCUUUUAUGAGGGACGAAGGAUGUGACGGUACCUCAUGAAUAAGCCACGGCUAACUACGUGCCAGCCGCCGC